Molecule: ribosomal RNA, 406 nt
Filed under: uncultured bacterium
Lineage: Bacteria
Description: partial 16S ribosomal RNA
Rfam family: Bacterial small subunit ribosomal RNA
Source: RNAcentral
AUUGAACGCUGGCGGCAGGCCUAACACAUGCAAGUCGAGCGAGCGGCGCACGGGUGAGUAAUGUCUGGGAAACUGCCUGAUGUAGGGGGAUAACUACUGUAAACGGUAGCUAAUACCGCAUACCAUCUGAUGUGCCCAGAUGGGUUUAGCGGGUAGGGGGGGUAACGGCUCACCUAGGCGACUAUCCCUAGCUGGUCUGAGAGGAUGACCAGCCACACUGGAACGGAGACACGGUCCAGACUCCUACGGGAGGCAGCAGUGGGGAAUAUUGGACAAUGGGCGCAAGCCUGAUGCAGCCAUGCCGCGUGUGUGAAGAAGGCCUUCGGGUUGUAAAGCACUUUCAGCGGGGAGGCGUUACCCGAAGAGGAAGCACCGGCUAACUCCGUGCCAGCAGCCGCGGUAAUAC